CUCAGAGUGAACGCUAGCGGUGCGCCUAACACAUGCAAGUCGAGUGGGUUUAGACCCACGGCGAACGGCUGAGUAACACGUUGGAACCUGCCCCGGACUCAGGGAUAACCCACCGAAAGGUGGGCUAAUACCGGAUGGUCCCGCAAGGGUAAAGCUUUUGCGGUCCGGGAGGGGCCUGCGGCCUAUCAGCUAGUUGGUAAGGUAAUGGCUUACCAAGGCUAUGACGGGUAGCUGGUCUGAGAGGACGACCAGCCAGAAUGGGACUGAGACACGGCCCAUACUCC
RNAcentral lists this ribosomal RNA (284 nucleotides) under uncultured bacterium. RNAcentral's name for it is "partial 16S ribosomal RNA". It matches the Rfam family "Bacterial small subunit ribosomal RNA", at positions 23 to 339 of the family's 1533-position model. The record is from RNAcentral.